UAGGGAAUCUUCGGCAAUGGACGAAAGUCUGACCGAGCAACGCCGCGUGAGUGAAGAAGGUUUUCGGCUCGUAAAACUCUGUUGUUAGAGAAGAACAAGGACGUUAGUAACUGAACGUCCCCUGACGGUAUCUAACCAGAAAGCCACGGCUAACUACGUGCCAGCAGCCGCGGUAAUACGUAGGUGGCAAGCGUUGUCCGGAUUUAUUGGGCGUAAAGCGAGCGCAGGCGGUUUCUUAAGUCUGAUGUGAAAGCCCCCGGUUCAACCGGGGAGGGUCAUUGGAAACUGGGAGACUUGAGUGCAGAAGAGGAGAGUGGAAUUCCAUGUGUAGCGGUGAAAUACGUAGAUAUAUGGAGGAACACCAGUGGCGAAGGCGGCUAUAUGGUCUGUAACUGACGCUGAGGCUCGAAAGCGUGGGGAGCAAACAGG
This 429-nucleotide ribosomal RNA is filed under the name Gemmatimonadota bacterium. Its description in RNAcentral is "Gemmatimonadetes bacterium partial 16S ribosomal RNA". It matches the Rfam family "Bacterial small subunit ribosomal RNA", at positions 355 to 776 of the family's 1533-position model. The record is from RNAcentral. Lineage: Bacteria; Pseudomonadati; Gemmatimonadota.